This is a non-coding RNA of Oryza meridionalis, 204 nucleotides long. The record is from Rfam. Lineage: Eukaryota; Viridiplantae; Streptophyta; Magnoliopsida; Poales; Poaceae.
UUUAGAUGUAACCAUGAGUUUCCGUGUCUAACUUUGAUUGUCCGUAUUAUUUGAAUUUUUUUUAUGAUUAGUAUUUUUAUUGUUAUUAGAUGAUAAAACAUGGAUAAUGUUUUAUGCGUGACUUAUGUUUUAAAGUUUUUUUAAAAAAAUUCAAAUAAAACGGACGAUCAAAGUUGAGCACGGUAAAUCAUGGCUGCAUAUAAA